RNAcentral lists this ribosomal RNA (512 nucleotides) under uncultured Glomus. Its description in RNAcentral is "SSU rRNA". It matches the Rfam family "Eukaryotic small subunit ribosomal RNA", at positions 569 to 1081 of the family's 1831-position model. The record is from RNAcentral. Lineage: Eukaryota; Fungi; Glomeromycota; Glomeromycetes; Glomerales; Glomeraceae.
AGCAGCCGCGGUAAUUCCAGCUCCAAUAGCGUAUAUUAGAGUUGUUGCAGUUAAAAAGCUCGUAGUUGAAUUUCGGGAUCAGUACGCUGGUCGUGCCUUUGGUAUGUACUGGUGUCACUGAUUCCUCCCUUCUGAAGAACCGUUAUGCCAUUUAUUUGGUGUGGCGGGGAAUCAGGACUGUUACUUUGAAAAAAUUAGAGUGUUUAAAGCAGGCUCGCGCUUGAAUACAUUAGCAUGGAAUAAUGAAAUAGGACGUUUGAUUCUUAUUUUGUUGGUUUCUAGGAUCGACGUAAUGAUUAAUAGGGAUAGUUGGGGGCAUUAGUAUUCAAUUGUCAGAGGUGAAAUUCUUGGAUUUAUUGAAGACUAACUACUGCGAAAGCAUUUGCCAAGGAUGUUUUCAUUAAUCAAGAACGAAAGUUAGGGGAUCGAAGACGAUCAGAUACCGUCGUAGUCUUAACCAUAAACUAUGCCGACUAGGGAUCGGAUGAUGUUGUAUUUUUAAUGACUCAUUC